This 332-nucleotide ribosomal RNA is filed under the name uncultured bacterium. RNAcentral describes it as "bacterial SSU rRNA". It matches the Rfam family "Bacterial small subunit ribosomal RNA", at positions 28 to 354 of the family's 1533-position model. The record is from RNAcentral.
GAUGAACGCUGGCGGCGUGGAUAAGGCAUGCAAGUCGAACGAUACGGCUAAGAUUACAUCAAGGCCGUAUAGUGGCGAACGAGUCAGUAACACCCUGGUAACCUACCACCAAGACGGGAAUAACCCCGCGAAAGCGGGGCUAAUACCCGAUGUGGCCAAGUUGUCGUCAGACAAUUUGGUUAAAGGAGCAAUCCGCUUGGUGAUGGGCCUAGGUCCGAUCAGCUAGUUGGUGAGGUAAUGGCUCACCAAGGCUACGACCGGUAGGGGGCUGAGAGGCUGUUCCCCGACGACGAGACUGAGACACGGCUCGUACUCCUACGGGAGGCAGCAUG